Molecule: ribosomal RNA, 551 nt
Filed under: Diversispora celata
Lineage: Eukaryota; Fungi; Glomeromycota; Glomeromycetes; Diversisporales; Diversisporaceae
Description: SSU rRNA
Rfam family: Eukaryotic small subunit ribosomal RNA
Source: RNAcentral
UUGGAGGGCAAGUCUGGUGCCAGCAGCCGCGGUAAUUCCAGCUCCAAUAGCGUAUAUUAAAGUUGUUGCAGUUAAAAAGCUCGUAGUUGAACUUCGGGGUUUACCCAUUGGUCAGGCUUAAUUGUCUGUACUGGUGAGAUAAAUCUCUACCUUCUGAGGAACUUUCAUGUCAUUAAUUUGGUGUGAUUGGAAAUCAGGACUGUUACUUUGAAAAAAUUAGAAUGUUUAAAGCAGGCUAACGUCUGAAUACAUUAGCAUGGAGUAAUGAAAUAGGACGGAUUGAUUCUAUUUCGUUGGUUUCUAGGAUCACCGUAAUGAUUAAUAGGGAUAGUUGGGGGCAUUAGUAUUCAGUUGUCAGAGGUGAAAUUCUUGGAUUUAUUGAAGACUAACUACUGCGAAAGCAUUUGCCAAGGAUGUUUUCAUUAAUCAAGAACGAAAGUUAGGGGAUCGAAGACGAUCAGAUACCGUCGUAGUCUUAACCAUAAACUAUGCCGACUAGGGAUCGGACGAAGUUAAUUUUAUAAUGACGCGUUCGGCGCCUUACGGGAAAC